This 396-nucleotide ribosomal RNA is filed under the name uncultured bacterium. Its description in RNAcentral is "partial 16S ribosomal RNA". It matches the Rfam family "Bacterial small subunit ribosomal RNA", at positions 523 to 918 of the family's 1533-position model. The record is from RNAcentral.
AUACAGAGGGUGCGAGCGUUAAUCGGAUUUACUGGGCGUAAAGCGUGCGUAGGCGGCUUUUUAAGUCGGAUGUGAAAUCCCCGAGCUUAACUUGGGAAUUGCAUACGAUACUGGUUAGCUAGAGUAUGGGAGAGGAUGGUAGAAUUCCAGGUGUAGCGGUGGAAUGCGUAGAGAUCUGUAGGAAUACCGAUGGCGAAGGCAGCCAUCUGGCCUAAUACUGACACUGAGGUGCGAAAGCAUGGGGAGCAAACAGGAUUAGAUACCCUGGUAGUCCAUGCCGUAAACGAUGUCUACUAGCCGUUGGGGGAUUUGAUCCUUUAGUGGCGCAGCUAACGCGAUAAGUAGACCGCCUGGGGAGUACGGUCGCAAGACUAAAACUCAAAUGAAUCGACGGGG